This 253-nucleotide ribosomal RNA is filed under the name uncultured bacterium. RNAcentral describes it as "partial 16S ribosomal RNA". It matches the Rfam family "Bacterial small subunit ribosomal RNA", at positions 524 to 776 of the family's 1533-position model. The record is from RNAcentral.
UACGUAGGGGGCUAGCGUUGUCCGGAAUCAUUGGGCGUAAAGAGCGUGUAGGCGGCCCGGUAAGUCCGCUGUGAAAGUCGGGGGCUCAACCCUCGGAUGCCGGUGGAUACUGUCGGGCUCGAGUACGGAAGAGGCGAGUGGAAUUCCUGGUGUAGCGGUGAAAUGCGCAGAUAUCAGGAGGAACACCAAUUGCGAAGGCAGCUCGCUGGGACGUUACUGACGCUGAGACGCGAAAGCGUGGGGAGCAAACAGG